CAGUCGCCGCGGGAAUACGGAGGGUGCAAGCGUUAAUCGGAAUUACUGGGCGUAAAGCGCACGCAGGCGGUCUGUCAAGUCAGAUGUGAAAUCCCCGGGCUUAACCUGGGAACUGCAUUUGAAACUGGCAGGCUAGAGUCUUGUAGAGGGGGGUAGAAUUCCAGGUGUAGCGGUGAAAUGCGUAGAGAUCUGGAGGAAUACCGGUGGCGAAGGCGGCCCCCUGGACAAAGACUGACGCUCAGGUGCGAAAGCGUGGGGAGCGAACAGGAUUAGAUACCCCUGUAGUCCCUGUCUCUUAUAA
This 301-nucleotide ribosomal RNA is filed under the name uncultured bacterium. Its description in RNAcentral is "partial 16S ribosomal RNA". It matches the Rfam family "Bacterial small subunit ribosomal RNA", at positions 509 to 809 of the family's 1533-position model. The record is from RNAcentral.